This 250-nucleotide ribosomal RNA is filed under the name Brachyspira aalborgi. RNAcentral describes it as "partial 16S ribosomal RNA". It matches the Rfam family "Bacterial small subunit ribosomal RNA", at positions 524 to 773 of the family's 1533-position model. The record is from RNAcentral. Lineage: Bacteria; Pseudomonadati; Spirochaetota; Spirochaetia; Brachyspirales; Brachyspiraceae.
UACGUAGGAGGCAAACGUUGCUCGGAUUUACUGGGCGUAAAGGGUGAGUAGGCGGAACUAUAAGUCUAAGGUGAAAUAUCGAAGCUCAACUUCGGAAACGCCUCGGAUACUGUGGUUCUUGGAUAUUGUAGGGGAUGAUGGAAUUCUCGGUGUAGCGGUGGAAUGUAUAGAUAUCGAGAAGAACACCUAUAGCGAAGGCAGUCAUCUGGGCAUUUAUCGACGCUGAAUCACGAAAGCUGGGGGAGCAAAC